RNAcentral lists this ribosomal RNA (500 nucleotides) under uncultured bacterium. Its description in RNAcentral is "partial 16S ribosomal RNA". It matches the Rfam family "Bacterial small subunit ribosomal RNA", at positions 29 to 523 of the family's 1533-position model. The record is from RNAcentral.
AUUGAACGCUGGCGGCAUGCCUUACACAUGCAAGUCGAACGGCAGCACGGGAGCAAUCCUGGUGGCGAGUGGCGAACGGGUGAGUAAUACAUCGGAACGUGCCCAGUAGUGGGGGAUAGCCCGGCGAAAGCCGGAUUAAUACCGCAUGAGACCUGAGGGUGAAAGCGGGGGAUCGCAAGACCUCGCGCUAUUGGAGCGGCCGAUGUCAGAUUAGCUAGUUGGUAGGGUAAAGGCCUACCAAGGCAACGAUCUGUAGUUGGUCUGAGAGGACGACCAGCCACACUGGGACUGAGACACGGCCCAGACUCCUACGGGAGGCAGCAGUGGGGAAUUUUGGACAAUGGGCGCAAGCCUGAUCCAGCAAUGCCGCGUGCAGGAAGAAGGCCUUCGGGUUGUAAACUGCUUUUGUCAGGGAAGAAAUCUUCUGGGCUAAUACCCUGGGAGGAUGACGGUACCCGAAGAAUAAGCACCGGCUAACUACGUGCCAGCCGCCGCCGUAA